This 88-nucleotide unclassified non-coding RNA is filed under the name Pseudomonas extremorientalis. The record is from RNAcentral. Lineage: Bacteria; Pseudomonadati; Pseudomonadota; Gammaproteobacteria; Pseudomonadales; Pseudomonadaceae.
GUGGGAGGGGGCUUGCCCCCGAUGGCGGAGUGUCAGUUGGCGAUGUAAGUGACUGACCCGCCACCAUCGGGGGCAAGCCCCCUCCCAC